CUGAGCCUGUAGCAGUAUCAACCGCCUACUUGCUGAAUUGACACUGACCUCAGUUUUUCUCUUGGCAGAGGAGACAAAACGAGCAAAGGAAUGAGAAGAAGAAACAGCUCAUUGUUUGGAGGAAACUAAGCACCUUGAUGUUUUUGCAGCAUAAGAUAUGAGGCUGGAAUUGGUGUGAGCUUGGAUUGUAUGGGCAUCAUCUCAAACACUCUUUGGCUACUUUGGCACUUCUUGUUUCUACUCAUGUCAUAGCUUCCUAGAAAACUCCAACCAUGGGAGGAACCAACUAUGAGUGGAACGAAUCUCCUAUCUUCUCCAUGUCUGUGCCUGCAGCAACAUGUGUGCUGCUGAAGAAAAAUCAACCACUGGGGCAGAGAGGUAUUAUUUUGUAACUGCAUGAGUAACAAUACAAGUAUCUCACGUGGUGCCUGUGUGUGAAUUAGAACGAGACAUCCCUUCCUCAAGACACUUGGCUUCUCUGUCAGAAAGCUGUGGUGGUAUCUUGAUUUUGCAAGAACAAGGUAAUUUACCGGCAUCUGCCAGAAACUUGCCAUAACAAGUAUAUAAAUCUAUGACGUUUAUGAUGUGAACAGUUCCCCUCUGAGGUAUGGCAACCUUGUGCAAUGCCUGCACAGCUGUACACAGUGGCCCUGAUGACUACCCUCAUUCAGGCACUCAUGGCAGUAAAUGUUUCUUUAGUCAAAUAUAUCAUGCGUUUGCCUGUCUUCUUAAACCCAACUCUUCUUUUUUCCCUUUAUUCUCAGGGGAUAUCUGUUCCUGAUACUUCAAGAAAACUGGAGCCACCAUAUGGGAACUCCCUAAUUUUCCUAUUAUCAUAUCCACAAUCUUUCCAUCAUUUACACCCACCCUUACCCUCUUUCAUCUUCCUACCAAGACCAGUCCCUUUGUGUGGGCUCUGUAUUCCAAUCCUGUCGAUUCUUUCAUGGAAUAUGUCAUGAUUUUAAAUUCCAUAUUCGUCUAUAUGAAAUAGUUACUGCAUGCCUAUCUCCCUAUUAGAUCCACCCCCAGGGCAGGGAUCAUGUCUGUGUGGCUCAGCACUGGAUCCCCAGGGCUGUGUACAGAGUAGGGGCUCAAAAGAUUUGCCGAAUGGGCGAAUGCUAACACCUAAAGUCACCUGCUAAUUGAAGUAUUGCUCUGCCUCUUUCAUUACAAUGGAUUGAAUGACAGUAUUAAUGUAAGCUUGUGAAGAGUAAGGCAAGCCAGCUUGUCCAAUUUAUGUAAAAUAGUACCAUGAGAUGGCCAGAUAGCCAGGAAAUGCCUUGGGGGAAUGUUACAUGUUGAUAUCUACACGUUUAUACCUAUUACUUACAUAAAUCUAUGAUUUCUUUUUCUUGAAA
Molecule: long non-coding RNA, 1358 nt
Organism: Delphinapterus leucas (beluga whale)
Lineage: Eukaryota; Metazoa; Chordata; Mammalia; Artiodactyla; Monodontidae
Source: RefSeq, a predicted model, not a curated record